This is a long non-coding RNA of Xenia sp. Carnegie-2017, 333 nucleotides long. RefSeq lists it as uncharacterized. The transcript has 3 exons. The record is from RefSeq and is a predicted model, not a curated record. Lineage: Eukaryota; Metazoa; Cnidaria; Anthozoa; Malacalcyonacea; Xeniidae.
UUUGAGGUUCAUAAAUUUGUUCGGACUUGGAAUAAUACCGUGUUAAAUUCAUGGCGUGGAAGGCCGACGGAAGUUAUUGAGAAACAACUUAGACAGAUUAAUACCUGGAUGGUAGAAUUAGAACUGUUCACGAAGUCAUUCUGCACAACUAAUGGUUUAUUAAUGGUUGAUUGCCGAAAUAUCAGAGAUAGCAUCGUUCCGAAACUUGGUUCCAUUUUUCGACAACUUUCCAAGAUGGUUGCAAAGGAUCUUAUGAGGAUGUCGAAGAAGUUCAUUGACGAGGCUCAACAGCUUGUUAGGUCUGUUGAGCAUCAAGCUCGUGUUGUUGGUAAA